RNAcentral lists this long non-coding RNA (1333 nucleotides) under Chrysolophus pictus (golden pheasant). Its description in RNAcentral is "lncRNA (ENSCPIG00010000277.1)". Lineage: Eukaryota; Metazoa; Chordata; Aves; Galliformes; Phasianidae. The record is from RNAcentral.
CCCCGGGGGUCACCCAUAGGUGCCACAAUGCAACGUGCACGCAACGCUUUGCUCCCAUCCCCAGGCCAGCCUGGCAGCCAACAGGCAGAGCGGCUCCUCUGGCAGCAAUGGCACGCAGCAGGCGCCUGUGCAGCAGCCCACGAUCAACCUGGCCACGUCACCAGCAGCAGCCCAGCUCCUGAACCGGGCACAGAGCGUCAACCCCGGGGCGUCAGGCAUCGCGCAGCAAGCUGUCCUGCUGGGCAACGCCGCCUCACCUGCCCUCACCGCCAGCCAGGCACAGAUGUACCUGCGGGCACAGAUGCUCAUCUUCACACCCACGGGCCCUGUCAGCGACCUCCCUGCCCUCGCCAUGAAACCCCCUGGCAGCACUCCACGGGCCGGACCCCCCCGUGUGCCCCCACCCGAGAACCCUGGUGACCACCUCAAAAAGGCUGAGGGCCCCGAUGCCCGCACCCACCCCAUGGCCCGCACUGCUGCUGCCCCUGCUGCCGCCCACCCACUCGUCACCCCAGCCUACGCCCCGCUGCAGCAGCCCCAGUUCCUGCAGCAACCACCGAAGCCGAUGCAGCAGCAGCGCCACCGGCGGCACCAGCAGCGGCAGCUGGCCCCCCGUGGGCAGCACCCCUCGGGCCCAACCGCCCCCCAACUCCAGCCACUGCCCCCUGCCAGCCCCAGCCCAGCCCCCCCGCCCAAAGCUGGAGCCCCCCAUGGGACGGGGGCGGAAGGCACAGCCCCCAACGGGCACCCUGGCUGCUACGGGGCACCCCGCAAGUUCCAGCACGCCUCCGCCGUCAUCCUGCAGCUGCAGCCGGCCAGCAGCACGGUGAGGGCCCCCCGGCCCCAGAGAGCAGGGGGUGCUGGGGGUCGGGGUGCAUGGGGGGCCCCAGUGUGCACUCGGGUGGGUGUGCUACGUGCUGUGUGCAUGUCAGCUCUGUGCACGUGUGCAACCCUUGUGCCAGAUCCACGUGUGCGUGCAUGCACGGCUGGUGUACUCCUGAGCUACGCACGUGUUGCAUGUGUGCAUGACCCGUGCACCAUUGCCUGCUCCGUGUCCAAUUGUGCCACAUGCAUGUGUGCGCAAUGGCCCGCACACAGCUGUCCACAGGGCUUACGCACCUGGACCAUGUUUGCACGUGUGUUUGCACUUGGCUCACGCACAAGUAUGUGCGUGCAAGCGCUUACAGGCUGCCUCCAUGUGCACAUUUCUACCUGUCCCGCGUGCACGUGAGUGCAUUCCUGGCCUCUGCAUGUGCGCGCCGGGCCCAUGCACACACGUAGCAGCGUCACCCAGACCUGAGCAUCCGCGUGCACGCGCGCGUGCCCCGCACAC